GGAGCCUACAUGGAACACAGGUACGCAGGACCCAAGUCCAUCAACAUCCUUGGCCUCAGACGUGGAGAGCUUGAUCUCACUCACAAUGGUUGGGCUAACCGGGUAAACAUCUGUCAACAAGACCUGCUUUGGAUAAGAAACAUGAAAGAUGGCACGAUAAUGACUAACAUGAUUGAACUUAUGCCUUUUUUAAUUUGUAGGUUGGUCUCAAGGGUGAGGCCAAUGGCAUUUUCACUGAGGAGGGAUCACAAAAGGUUAAAUGGAGUCCACUUGCAGGACCUGGAAGGGCAAUCUCCUGGUACAAGGUAAGAAAUACUACCUAUAAACCAAACCAGUUGACAAAUAUUGGAAACUUAAGAACUUCCAAGUUGUUUCCUUUUUCUUUUGUAUGUUCUGAAUUCAAUUUUUCACAGACAAGAUUUACCACCCCAGAGGGAAGAGGUCCGGUUGCCAUCCGUAUGACUGGUAUGGGGAAGGGAAUGAUUUGGGUGAAUGGUCGUAGCAUUGGUCGACACUGGGUCAGCUUCCUCUCUCCUCUUGGACUACCUACUCAUGCAGAGUAAGCCAAUCACUCACUCACUAUGAUUGUUGGCCUUGAAAUCCAAGUUAUUAAUCUUUGUUUGUACCAGGUACCAUAUCCCAAGAGCUUACCUCAACCCAAAAGACAACUUGCUUGUUAUAUUGGAGGAGGACCAAGGAACUCCAGAGAAGAUUGAGAUCAUGAAUGUUAAUAGAGAUACAGUGUGCAGUAUCAUUGAGGAGAGCGAUCCCCCCAAUGUCAAUUCAUGGGUGUCUUCCCAUGGACAGUUCCGUCCCAGAGUGAGCAAUGUUGC
This 833-nucleotide long non-coding RNA is filed under the name Lotus japonicus. RNAcentral describes it as "long non-coding RNA (LJAP_LNC000612)". The record is from RNAcentral. Lineage: Eukaryota; Viridiplantae; Streptophyta; Magnoliopsida; Fabales; Fabaceae.